GAUCAUGGCUCAGGACGAACGCUGGCGGCGUGCUUAACACAUGCAAGUCGAACGAGGAUUUAACGGAAUGCGAUUCGUCAAAUGAAAUUAAAUCCGAGUGGCGGACGGGUGAGUAACGCGUGGAUAACCUGCCUCACACAGGGGGACAACAGCCGGAAACGGCUGCUAAUACCGCAUAACACAAGCAAUUCGCAUGAAUAGCUUGUCAAAGAUUUUAUCGGUGUGAGAUGGAUCCGCG
Molecule: ribosomal RNA, 238 nt
Filed under: uncultured bacterium
Lineage: Bacteria
Description: partial 16S ribosomal RNA
Rfam family: Bacterial small subunit ribosomal RNA
Source: RNAcentral